UUUUUUUGGUGGUGGCAGAUUUGCCAUGAGCUGAUCUCUACGGUGUCGUUCUUUGCGUUGGUUGACUGAAAUACCUUUAAAAAGACUAUAAUUGCUUUCGAUGAGUGUUGGAGUUGAAGGGUGAGAUAGAUGGAGCUUAUGUGUCUAUUUACCAGACAUUCCUGUCUAGUUCCGGGGAUUUUUAUUCUUCGUGACCAAUUUGCCCUUCGUUUGUUCCCCUAUUUGCUUUCUCUACUUCUGGCUUCUUUACCCAUUUUCCUGUUUCUCUAUUGGCUAUAUCGGUUAAAGAAUAGUCCUAUAUUUUUCCCCCUGGUUCAUAAGCUACCUCUUCUUGUCAGCGGCUGAGGAGGACAAAUCUGCCGGUUUAAUGGGCUUUAGCUCUCGUUUCAGGGUCGAUCUCCCCAAUAAACGGUGAAUUACCGUAGGCAUGCACUAUCCAGUGUCCACACCUUAAUGAAAAAUUUUUAGGGACCAAAAUAACCCCUUGCACUUUAAGAUUUUACUUUCACACGAGGUCAGCAGCUUGAAAGUGGCUAACGUUUCUUCUCGAAAUCUCGCCUAUUUUCCGGUCACCUGUCAUUCUUGUUCUAACCUUUUAAUAGACCAAAUCGCCCUCCGAAGCCUCUAAUGGCAGUAGAGAGGACAGUUUUGUCAGAUGCAAGAUAUCCCUUACCAUUAGCCAUUUAUAACCAUCUUGCCAACGCUAAGAACCCACGAAGCUUCCGACGCACGAACACUACCUUUAAUUUUCUUUUAUUUUUUUUCCCUUGUGACCAAAAAAAAAAAAA
This 788-nucleotide unclassified non-coding RNA is filed under the name Hevea brasiliensis (rubber tree). The record is from RNAcentral. Lineage: Eukaryota; Viridiplantae; Streptophyta; Magnoliopsida; Malpighiales; Euphorbiaceae.